UUAAGCGACUAAGCGUACACGGUGGAUGCCCUGGCAGUCAGAGGCGAUGAAGGACGUGCUAAUCUGCGAUAAGCGUCGGUAAGGUGAUAUGAACCGUUAUAACCGGCGAUUUCCGAAUGGGGAAACCCAGUGUGUUUCGUCACACUAUCAUUAACUGAAUCCAUAGGUUAAUGAGGCGAACCGGGGGAACUGAAACAUCUAAGUACCCCGAGGAAAAGAAAUCAACCGAGAUUCCCCCAGUAGCGGCGAGCGAACGGGGAGCAGCCCAGAGCCUGAAUCAGUAUGUGUGUUAGUGGAAGCGUCUGGAAAGGCGCGCGAUACAGGGUGACAGCCCCGUACACAAAAAUGCACAUGCUGUGAGCUCGAUGAGUAGGGCGGGACACGUGGUAUCCUGUCUGAAUAUGGGGGGACCAUCCUCCAAGGCUAAAUACUCCUGACUGACCGAUAGUGAACCAGUACCGUGAGGGAAAGGCGAAAAGAACCCCGGCGAGGGGAGUGAAAAAGAACCUGAAACCGUGUACGUACAAGCAGUGGGAGCACGCUUAGGCGUGUGACUGCGUACCUUUUGUAUAAUGGGUCAGCGACUUAUAUUCUGUAGCAAGGUUAACCGAAUAGGGGAGCCGAAGGGAAACCGAGUCUUAACUGGGCGUUAAGUUGCAGGGUAUAGACCGAAACCCGGUGAUCUAGCCAUGGGCAGGUUGAAGGUUGGGUAACACUAACUGGAGGACCGAACCGACUAAUGUUGAAAAAUUAGCGGAUGACUUGUGGCUGGGGGUGAAAGGCCAAUCAAACCGGGAGAUAGCUGGUUCUCCCCGAAAGCUAUUUAGGUAGCGCCUCGUGAAUUCAUCUCCGGGGGUAGAGCACUGUUUCGGCAAGGGGGUCAUCCCGACUUACCAACCCGAUGCAAACUGCGAAUACCGGAGAAUGUUAUCACGGGAGACACACGGCGGGUGCUAACGUCCGUCGUGAAGAGGGAAACAACCCAGACCGCCAGCUAAGGUCCCAAAGUCAUGGUUAAGUGGGAAACGAUGUGGGAAGGCCCAGACAGCCAGGAUGUUGGCUUAGAAGCAGCCAUCAUUUAAAGAAGCGUAAUAGCUCACUGGUCGAGUCGGCCUGCGCGGAAGAUGUAACGGGGCUAAACCAUGCACCGAAGCUGCGGCAGCGACGCUGAUGCGUUGUUGGGUAGGGGAGCGUUCUGUAAGCCUGCGAAGGUGUGCUGUGAGGCAUGCUGGAGGUAUCAGAAGUGCGAAUGCUGACAUAAGUAACGAUAAAGCGGGUGAAAGGCCCGCUCGCCGGAAGACCAAGGGUUCCUGUCCAACGUUAAUCGGGGCAGGGUGAGUCGACCCCUAAGGCGAGGCCGAAAGGCGUAGUCGAUGGGAAACAGGUUAAUAUUCCUGUACUUGGUGUUACUGCGAAGGGGGGACGGAGAAGGCUAUGUUGGCCGGGCGACGGUUGUCCCGGUUUAAGCGUGUAGGCUGGUUUUCUAGGCAAAUCCGGAAAAUCAAGGCUGAGGCGUGAUGACGAGGCACUACGGUGCUGAAGCAACAAAUGCCCUGCUUCCAGGAAAAGCCUCUAAGCAUCAGGUAACAUCAAAUCGUACCCCAAACCGACACAGGUGGUCAGGUAGAGAAUACCAAGGCGCUUGAGAGAACUCGGGUGAAGGAACUAGGCAAAAUGGUGCCGUAACUUCGGGAGAAGGCACGCUGAUAUGUAGGUGAAGUCCCUCGCGGAUGGAGCUGAAAUCAGUCGAAGAUACCAGCUGGCUGCAACUGUUUAUUAAAAACACAGCACUGUGCAAACACGAAAGUGGACGUAUACGGUGUGACGCCUGCCCGGUGCCGGAAGGUUAAUUGAUGGGGUUAGCGCAAGCGAAGCUCUUGAUCGAAGCCCCGGUAAACGGCGGCCGUAACUAUAACGGUCCUAAGGUAGCGAAAUUCCUUGUCGGGUAAGUUCCGACCUGCACGAAUGGCGUAAUGAUGGCCAGGCUGUCUCCACCCGAGACUCAGUGAAAUUGAACUCGCUGUGAAGAUGCAGUGUACCCGCGGCAAGACGGAAAGACCCCGUGAACCUUUACUAUAGCUUGACACUGAACAUUGAGCCUUGAUGUGUAGGAUAGGUGGGAGGCUUUGAAGUGUGGACGCCAGUCUGCAUGGAGCCGACCUUGAAAUACCACCCUUUAAUGUUUGAUGUUCUAACGUUGACCCGUAAUCCGGGUUGCGGACAGUGUCUGGUGGGUAGUUUGACUGGGGCGGUCUCCUCCUAAAGAGUAACGGAGGAGCACGAAGGUUGGCUAAUCCUGGUCGGACAUCAGGAGGUUAGUGCAAUGGCAUAAGCCAGCUUGACUGCGAGCGUGACGGCGCGAGCAGGUGCGAAAGCAGGUCAUAGUGAUCCGGUGGUUCUGAAUGGAAGGGCCAUCGCUCAACGGAUAAAAGGUACUCCGGGGAUAACAGGCUGAUACCGCCCAAGAGUUCAUAUCGACGGCGGUGUUUGGCACCUCGAUGUCGGCUCAUCACAUCCUGGGGCUGAAGUAGGUCCCAAGGGUAUGGCUGUUCGCCAUUUAAAGUGGUACGCGAGCUGGGUUUAGAACGUCGUGAGACAGUUCGGUCCCUAUCUGCCGUGGGCGCUGGAGAACUGAGGGGGGCUGCUCCUAGUACGAGAGGACCGGAGUGGACGCAUCACUGGUGUUCGGGUUGUCAUGCCAAUGGCACUGCCCGGUAGCUAAAUGCGGAAGAGAUAAGUGCUGAAAGCAUCUAAGCACGAAACUUGCCCCGAGAUGAGUUCUCCCUGACUCCUUGAGAGUCCUGAAGGAACGUUGAAGACGACGACGUUGAUAGGCCGGGUGUGUAAGCGCAGCGAUGCGUUGAGCUAACCGGUACUAAUGAACCGUGAGGCUUAACCUU
Molecule: ribosomal RNA, 2900 nt
Filed under: Escherichia coli DEC10A
Lineage: Bacteria; Pseudomonadati; Pseudomonadota; Gammaproteobacteria; Enterobacterales; Enterobacteriaceae
Description: bacterial LSU rRNA
Rfam family: Bacterial large subunit ribosomal RNA
Source: RNAcentral